AUUGAACGCUGGCGGAAUGCUUUACACAUGCAAGUCGAACGGCAGCACGGACUUCGGUCUGGUGGCGAGUGGCGAACGGGUGAGUAAUGUAUCGGAACGUGCCCAGUCGUGGGGGAUAACGUAGUGAAAAUUACGCUAAUACCGCAUACGAUCUAUGGAUGAAAGCGGGGGAUCGCAAGACCUUGCGCGAUUGGAGCGGCAGAUAUCAGAUUAGGUAGUUGGUGGGGUAAAGGCCCACCAAGCCAACGAUCUGUAGCUGGUCUGAGAGGACGACCAGCCACACUGGGACUGAGACACGGUCCAGACUCCUACGGGAGGCAGCAGUGGGGAAUUUUGGACAAUGGGCGAAAGCCUGAUCCAGCCAUUCCGCGUGCAGGAUGAAGGCCCUCGGGUUGUAAACUGCUUUUGUACAGAACGAAAAGGUUUCUACUAAUACUAGGAGCUCAUGACGGUACUGUAAGAAUAAGCACCGGCUAACUACGUGCCAGCAGCCGCCGUAA
Molecule: ribosomal RNA, 500 nt
Filed under: uncultured bacterium
Lineage: Bacteria
Description: partial 16S ribosomal RNA
Rfam family: Bacterial small subunit ribosomal RNA
Source: RNAcentral